RNAcentral lists this long non-coding RNA (1182 nucleotides) under Equus caballus (horse). Its description in RNAcentral is "lncRNA (ENSECAG00000059881.1)". Lineage: Eukaryota; Metazoa; Chordata; Mammalia; Perissodactyla; Equidae. The record is from RNAcentral.
CUUCUUCCAUCAAUUGAUUGUUGGGAUCUUCCCAUGAGGCUAUAUGUAUGUCAAUAUUGCCAAAGAGAUGAUGAUGUGAGAUUAUAGGACAGCUGUUUAUGAUUAUGGGACAACCACUUCUUCAUGUCUUCUGCACCUGAUAAGGCCAGUUUCUGAUUGUACCAUUACCAUCAUGCAACAGAUUACUGCUAUGCCUGCCUAACCUCAUGCAUUGGAGAACUGGAUGACAGAGCAGAAUGUCGACGACCCAUGACUAAAAAGCGUGUGCCGAUUUACUUUGUCUUACCAGAGAACUUUCUCCAGAAGUAGAGAUUGGAAUUGAAAGGACGAACUCCUGUAACUCUAAAACGUGUGUCUGCACUACCCAGCCACCCUGGCUGCAGCAGAAAGGACAACUGGAUCCAAAAUAAUUCUUUUAUAUGUUCUUGUUUGUGUUCAGAAGUUGUGUGGAACAAACGUAGGAAAUAGACUAGACUCAGUAGCCUGCAAUCUGUGUGAAUAUGAAAUCCCCCUAAAGUGGCAGUUACCCUUAAGUGGACUUCCCUGGGGCUAUCAGUGAUGGAGUAGCUGGCAUUACCUGCUGAGUGAAUAGAGCAGCUGCCACUUGAAAAAUCAAGGGCUGGACCCCUGUAGCUUAAUGACCCUCUCCAUCCAAGUGCUGAGGACGCAGGUCUCCCUUUCUCUCCUUGUUAGACUAUGGUGAAUGAAAUCUUUUUUACAUAAAUGAUUUAGUCCAUCAUUCAUUCUGUUACUUAGCCAAUCAGUUCUUCCCUAAUUAAGCACAUAUAGAGCACCUGCUGUGUACAGGCACUGUGCCAUGGACUAAAGCUACAGAAACAGAGACCUGGCCUCUGUUUUCAUGGCGCCUGUCUUGUGAGGAGACAGACACAUAAUUCUCAAAGCAGGAGCUAAGUUCUACGAUAGCACAAAUUAGGGAGUUAACGAUUCUACCUAAAAUGCUCACUUAGAACAUUCCUCCAAGUUUCAAGAAAGGAGAAGUUUUAGACGGCUGGUGGCUUUGCAUUCACUCACUGCUGUGAAAGUAAAACAGAAAGAAAUACAGUUGAUAAUUGUUCAAAAAUACCUGAGAAGAGUCAACUUGCUUGGUAAAGAUGAGAUGCCAUCCAGUUCAGGCGGCUUGCAGCUCCAGAAUGUGUAAUUUCAUUUUGCCAGAGUUUAAAG